Molecule: ribosomal RNA, 202 nt
Filed under: Clostridioides difficile
Lineage: Bacteria; Bacillati; Bacillota; Clostridia; Peptostreptococcales; Peptostreptococcaceae
Description: partial 16S ribosomal RNA
Rfam family: Bacterial small subunit ribosomal RNA
Source: RNAcentral
UUGGGCACUCUAGAGAGACUGCCAGGGAUAACCUGGAGGAAGGUGGGGAUGACGUCAAAUCAUCAUGCCCCUUAUGCUUAGGGCUACACACGUGCUACAAUGGGGAGUACAGAGGGUUGCCAAGCCGUAAGGGGGAGCUAAUCCCUUAAAGCUACUCUCAGUUCGGAUUGUAGGCUGAAACUCGCCUACAUGAAGCUGGAGU